GACGAACGCUGGCGGCGUGCUUAACACAUGCAAGUCGAACGGAAAGGCCCUGCUUUUGUGGGGUGCUCGAGUGGCGAACGGGUGAGUAACACGUGUGUAACCUGCCCUUGACUUUGGGAUAACUUCAGGAAACUGGGGCUAAUACCGGAUAGGAGCUCCUGCUGCAUGGUGGGGGUUGGAAAGUUUCGGCGGUUGGGGAUGGACUCGCGGCUUAUCAGCUUGUUGGCGGGGUAGUGGCUUACCAAGGCUUUGACGGGUAGCCGGCCUGAGAGGGUGACCGGCCACAUUGGGACUGAGAUACGGCCCAGACUCCUACGGGAGGCAGCAGUGGGGAAUAUUGCACAAUGGGCGGAAGCCUGAUGCAGCAACGCCGCGUGCGGGAUGACGGCCUUCGGGUUGUAAACCGCUUUCGCCUGUGACGAAGCGUGAGUGACGGUAAUGGGUAAAGAAGCACCGGCUAACUACGUG
Molecule: ribosomal RNA, 468 nt
Filed under: uncultured bacterium
Lineage: Bacteria
Description: partial 16S ribosomal RNA
Rfam family: Bacterial small subunit ribosomal RNA
Source: RNAcentral